RNAcentral lists this ribosomal RNA (486 nucleotides) under uncultured bacterium. RNAcentral describes it as "partial 16S ribosomal RNA". It matches the Rfam family "Bacterial small subunit ribosomal RNA", at positions 28 to 507 of the family's 1533-position model. The record is from RNAcentral.
GACGAACGCUGGCGGCGUGCUUAACACAUGCAAGUCGAACGCUGAAGGCCUGGCUUUUGUUGGGUUGGAUGAGUGGCGAACGGGUGAGUAACACGUGAGUAACCUGCCCUCUUCUUUGGGAUAACGCCCGGAAACGGGUGCUAAUACUGGAUAUUCACUGAUCUUCGCAUGGGGGUUGGUGGAAAGGUUUGUUCUGGUGGGGGAUGGGCUCGCGGCCUAUCAGCUUGUUGGUGGGGUGAUGGCCUACCAAGGCUUUGACGGGUAGCCGGCCUGAGAGGGUGACCGGUCACAUUGGGACUGAGAUACGGCCCAGACUCCUACGGGAGGCAGCAGUGGGGAAUAUUGCACAAUGGGCGAAAGCCUGAUGCAGCGACGCCGCGUGAGGGAUGGAGGCCUUCGGGUUGUAAACCUCUUUCGCGCAUGGUCAAGCCGCAACUGUGGGUUGUGGUGAGGGUAGUGGGUAAAGAAGCGCCGGCUAACUACGUG